UUUUGGACAAUGGGGGCAACCCUGAUCCAGCAAUGCCGCGUGAGUGAAGAAGGCCUUCGGGUUGUAAAGCUCUUUUGUCAGGGAAGAAACACCGGCUCUAACACAGUCCGGGAAUGACGGUACCUGAAGAAUAAGCACCGGCUAACUACGUGCCAGCAGCCGCGGUAAUACGUAGGGUGCAAGCGUUAAUCGGAAUUACUGGGCGUAAAGCGUGCGCAGGCGGUUAUACAAGACAGGCGUGAAAUCCCCGGGCUUAACCUGGGAAUGGCGCCUGUGACUGUAUAGCUAGAGUGUGUCAGAGGGGGGUAGAAUUCCACGUGUAGCAGUGAAAUGCGUAGAUAUGUGGAGGAAUACCAAGGCGAAGGCAGCCCCCGGGAAACACUACGCUCAGCAGAA
This 396-nucleotide ribosomal RNA is filed under the name uncultured bacterium. RNAcentral's name for it is "bacterial SSU rRNA". It matches the Rfam family "Bacterial small subunit ribosomal RNA", at positions 362 to 757 of the family's 1533-position model. The record is from RNAcentral.